GGAGGAGUACCCAAGUCUGGCUGAAGGGAUCGGUUUCGAAAACCGACAGGGGCAUCAAAGCCCGCGGGGGUUCAAAUCCCUCCUCCUCCGCCA
This 93-nucleotide transfer RNA is filed under the name Aeribacillus alveayuensis. RNAcentral's name for it is "tRNA-Ser". It matches the Rfam family "tRNA". Rfam says of the family: Transfer RNA (tRNA) molecules are approximately 80 nucleotides in length. The record is from RNAcentral. Lineage: Bacteria; Bacillati; Bacillota; Bacilli; Caryophanales; Bacillaceae.